Molecule: ribosomal RNA, 628 nt
Filed under: uncultured bacterium
Lineage: Bacteria
Description: bacterial SSU rRNA
Rfam family: Bacterial small subunit ribosomal RNA
Source: RNAcentral
CUGGGCGUAAGGGUGUGUAGGCGGUUGUUUAAGUUUGGUGUGAAAUCUCCCGGCUCAACUGGGAGGGUGCGCCGAAUACUGAAUGACUUGGAGUGCGGGAGAGGAAAGUGGAAUUCCUGGUGUAGCGGUGAAAUGCGUAGAUAUCAGGAGGAACACCGGUGGUGUAGACGGCUUUCUGGACCGUAACUGACGCUGAGACACGAAAGCGUGGGUAGCAAACAGGAUUAGAUACCCUGGUAGUCCACGCCCUAAACGAUGCAUAUUUGGUGUGGGCAGUUCAUUCUGUCCGUGCCGGAGCUAACGCGUUAAAUAUGCCGCCUGGGGAGUACAGUCGCAAGGCUGAAACUCAAAGGAAUUGACGGGGGCCCGCACAAGCGGUGGAGCAUGUGGUUCAAUUCGACGCAACGCGAAGAACCUUACCUGGGCUCGAACGGCUGGUCAACGGCGGUGGAAACAUCGCUACCCCGCAAGGGGGUCCAGUCGAGGUGCUGCAUGGCUGUCGUCAGCUCGUGUCGUGAGAUGUUGGGUUAAGUCCCGCAACGAGCGCAACCCUUGUCCUGUGUUGCCAUCAUUUAGUUGGGAACUCGCAGGAGACCGCCAGCGAUAAGUUGGAGGAAGGUGGGGAUGA